Molecule: long non-coding RNA, 1312 nt
Organism: Coffea eugenioides
Lineage: Eukaryota; Viridiplantae; Streptophyta; Magnoliopsida; Gentianales; Rubiaceae
Exons: 3
Source: RefSeq, a predicted model, not a curated record
UUUGUUGGAUGAAAUUCUUGGGAAAGACAAGAACAGAGACUGAUUGUAGACUUAGGCCAAUAUUUAGCUCUGAUAAAUCCCUCUAUCUUUUUCUUCGAUUUUUAUUCGGUGGGAUGUGAAAUUUUGGAUUUUUAGGUGAAAGGUUGGAGUUUAUGGACUGAAAAUUGGCAGCCCUUUUGAGUAUUCCUACUUAUUUGGGUGACAUUAACAUUAUUCUAGAACUUCAUGUAAUUGUUUCUUAAAAAAGGAACAGGUGUUUUUUUUUUUUUUGUGUAGAAUCUAAGCCCAUUUGGCCCUGGAAGGAUUGUGUAGAAAUCCAAUCCUUGAGAGCAUUCUGAACAUGAUUUCAUGACAUUUGAAUUUCUAGCUUAAAAGAGAGAAUAAACUAAGAAAAAUGCACAUAGCUACAUUGGAGGUGAUCUUGUAUAAGUUCCAGGUAUUCUAGAACAUAACUCAUUUCAAAGGCUGAUUUAACUGUUCCAAUAGUUUCAGUGGAGGGUCAGCCAUUGGAGCUUAAUUGAAAGCAUUUAAUCAUGGUGUUACAACUGCAGAAGUAGUUGGCAUAGAUUGAGUUAGAUCAGAGACAUUUGGUUACUCAAAGCCUUUUACAGACGGAUUUAAGUCUCUUUAAUAUUCAUGCUUUUUGAUCCUCACUGCCCCACCAGAUUCUUCCUGCUGUGUCUCUACGGUAGUAAUUGCAUUCUGCUACAUAAUUAAUUAAUCUUUAUCCUUUUCUUCACUCUUUUCUUAUUGAGUUGUCAUUGCUUUUGGCUUCUGCUUUUAGUGAUCAUUUUAGUGCCAGAAGUCAAAGGCAAUAAUACUCACCAGGUGCAGGAGAAGGAUGCUACCAGAAAGAUGACAGACAGACACACACACACACAGAUAUAGAGAGACAGAGAGAGAACGUAGGAAAUGCUUAUGUGUGCCGGAGAUUGGUGCCGAAACCUUCAUGGAGUGAAAAAAAGAUAAAAAUAAAAAGUGAAGGCAGCAAAAAAGAUUCUACUUCCCAUAAAAUGAAUGUGAUAAUUGGAAAGGGCCUGGAGUUGAAAAUUUGGAAUCCAUAAGCAAAAGCUGGAAAAGAUUAUUAUGGAAUGGACAACAUGCUACUGUCUUUAAUUGUAGAAUUUGUUUCACAUUUUUAAUUUGAAUGUUGACACUUUGUCUUUGUUUUUCCUGUUUGUGUGACUUGGUGGAUGUUGGUUGUGUGACUUAUCUCUGAAUUUGGAUGUUAGAUUUGAUGUUAAAAUACGGAUGAAUUUGGAUAUUGGUUGGCAUAAUGGCUGAAAAGUGUUGACAAUUUGAUGCUUUGGAC